CACGGAGGGGACUAGCGUUGUUCGGAAUUACUGGGCGUAAAGCGCACGUAGGCGGAUUCGUAAGUCAGGGGUGAAAUCCCGAGGCUCAACCUCGGAACUGCCUUUGAUACUGCGAAUCUCGAGUCCGGAAGAGGUGAGUGGAAUUCCUAGUGUAGAGGUGAAAUUCGUAGAUAUUAGGAAGAACACCAGUGGCGAAGGCGGCUCACUGGUCCGGUACUGACGCUGAGGUGCGAAAGCGUGGGGAGCAAACAGG
RNAcentral lists this ribosomal RNA (253 nucleotides) under uncultured bacterium. Its description in RNAcentral is "partial 16S ribosomal RNA". It matches the Rfam family "Bacterial small subunit ribosomal RNA", at positions 524 to 776 of the family's 1533-position model. The record is from RNAcentral.